Molecule: ribosomal RNA, 1369 nt
Filed under: uncultured Bacillota bacterium
Lineage: Bacteria; Bacillati; Bacillota
Description: uncultured Firmicutes bacterium 16S ribosomal RNA
Rfam family: Bacterial small subunit ribosomal RNA
Source: RNAcentral
AGAGUUUGAUUAUGGCUCAGGACGAACGCUGGCGGCGUGCCUAACACAUGCAAGUCGAGCGAAGUAUAGUGAAGUUUUCGGACAGAACGAUACUUAGCGGCGGACGGGUGAGUAACGCGUGAGCAACCUGCCUUUCACAAAGGGAUAGCCUCGGGAAACUGGGAUUAAUACCAUAUAAAACUUACCUUUCGCAUGGAAGGAAAGUCAAAGCGAUAAGUGGUGAAAGAUGGGCUCGCGUCCUAUUAGCUAGUUGGUGAGGUAACGGCUCACCAAGGCGACGAUAGGUAGCCGGCCUGAGAGGGUGAACGGCCACACUGGAACUGAGACACGGUCCAGACUCCUACGGGAGGCAGCAGUGGGGGAUAUUGCACAAUGGAGGAAACUCUGAUGCAGCGACGCCGCGUGAGUGAAGAAGGCCUUCGGGUCGUAAAGCUCUGUCCUAGGGGAAGAUAAUGACGGUACCCUAGGAGGAAGCCCCGGCUAACUACGUGCCAGCAGCCGCGGUAAUACGUAGGGGGCGAGCGUUGUCCGGAAUUACUGGGCGUAAAGAGUUCGUAGGCGGUUUGAUAAGUCAGAUGUGAAAGGCGUAGGCUCAACCUAUGUAAGCAUAUGAAACUGUCAGACUUGAGGUAAGGAGAGGAAAGUGGAAUUCCUAGUGUAGCGGUGAAAUGCGUAGAUAUUAGGAGGAAUACCAGUGGCGAAGGCGACUUUCUGGACUUAAACUGACGCUGAGGAACGAAAGCGUGGGGAGCAAACAGGAUUAGAUACCCUGGUAGUCCACGCCGUAAACGAUGAGUGCUAGGUGUCGGUUAGAAAUAAUCGGUGCCGCAGCUAACGCAAUAAGCACUCCGCCUGGGGAGUACGUACGCAAGUAUGAAACUCAAAGGAAUUGACGGGGACCCGCACAAGCAGCGGAGCAUGUGGUUUAAUUCGAAGCAACGCGAAGAACCUUACCAGGGCUUGACAUGCUCUGACGUUACUAGAGAUAGUAAUUUACCCUUCGGUACAGAGACACAGGUGGUGCAUGGUUGUCGUCAGCUCGUGUCGUGAGAUGUUGGGUUAAGUCCCGCAACGAGCGCAACCCUUGUAUUUAGUUGCCAGCAUUAAGUUGGGCACUCUAGAUAGACUGCCGUGGACAACACGGAGGAAGGUGAGGAUGACGUCAAAUCAUCAUGCCCUUUAUGUCCUGGGCUACACACGUGCUACAAUGGUCGGUACAACGAGCAGCAAACUAGUGAUAGCAAGCGAAUCUCUAAAAGCCGAUCCCAGUUCGGAUUGUAGGCUGCAACUCGCCUACAUGAAGUCGGAGUUGCUAGUAAUCGCGAAUCAGCAUGUCGCGGUGAAUGCGUUCCCGGGUCUUGUACACACC